Capsicum annuum is the source of this 399-nucleotide long non-coding RNA. RefSeq lists it as uncharacterized. The transcript is spliced from 2 exons. The record is from RefSeq and is a predicted model, not a curated record. NCBI's taxonomy places the organism in Eukaryota, Viridiplantae, Streptophyta, Magnoliopsida, Solanales, Solanaceae.
UGUUUUGCUUCUCUAAUUAAGGACUAUUGAAUAUAUGAGGGUUUUUGUUUCUGUACAAACUUCCCACCUCAAAGAAAAUAAACGCUUUUCCAAAAAAUCAUGUGUUUCUCCUCCUCUCUUUUUCCUCAACCUGGUUUUCUCCGUGGCAUACUCUUGAGUUUUUCAGCUCAGUCGUGGAAGUUGUAUAUAGGUCAUUCACAACUUGCCUAAGCCAUUAAUCAGCAUGAUAAAAGCUGUUGGCUGGAAUCUUGAUACUGCAGCAAACUUCGUAGAGCCAUAUGUAGUUCAUGAAAGAGAGUUCAUAAGAAAUAUGUGUUUGAAUCACAUGUUUUCCAAAGAAUAUUCACUGUAUUUAAUAAUGAAUUCUUCUCGAUGAAACAUGAGAUUCAGCUUCGCCAA